This is a long non-coding RNA of Bactrocera neohumeralis, 858 nucleotides long. RefSeq lists it as uncharacterized. The transcript has 3 exons. NCBI's taxonomy places the organism in Eukaryota, Metazoa, Arthropoda, Insecta, Diptera, Tephritidae. The record is from RefSeq and is a predicted model, not a curated record.
AUACAAGCAAAAAAGCAAAAAGGCAAUUCUUUGCGACUUACAAAGGGUGAACAAACCCAAAGUAAUAACGCCAACGCAACAGAAUUGCUUAAUGAUUUGGAGUUUGCCAUAAAUUCGCUAAAAAAGGAGUUAUACCACCAGUUGAAUUAGAUAUUUUCGAACCUGACGAUAUUGAGAGGUAUGCCGAUACAACUUUGCAGAAGCGCUACGAUUUUGAAAAAAAUAUAAAGUCCCUGAAUAUAAAUGAAAGUAAAGAAAAACCAAUUCGGGAGCGCUGCACAUAUUUCACAAUUGAAUUGAUGAAACAAUUAAAACAGAGAUUGAUGUUUUUCGGUCACCAAUGUAUUGUGCGCGGUGAAGAAAGACUUCACAGAUAUUUUAGAGUUCCUACAAUUCAAAAAUAUUUCUAAAAUUGAACGCCAAUACAACAAUAUAAAUUUGAUUAAAUGGGACAACAUCAGCGACACAAACAAAUUUUGGUUUGAGGUGCUAAACUUUAAAGAUUCUGGUGGAAAACGCAGAUUUUUUGAGAUGGCAACUGUGGUCAUUCAAAUAUUGUGUUUACCCUGGUCAAACGCGGAGAUAGAAAGGGUUUUUAGCCAGGUUAACCUAAUUUAAUCAAAAUUAAGAAAUUCAAUAGUCCUCGCAACGACUAACAGCAUUCUAAGCAUAAGAAACGGAUUACGAAGGAUGGGAAAAUGCUGCGUCGACUAUGAAGUGUCUGUAAAAUAUCGGCAGAUGAUAGCCACGAAUAUGUCAUACGAAAAUGAGACAGACCAAGACGAUAUACAUAGAUAAAUUAAUGGAAAUCUUUUAAACAAAAAUGAACUUAAUAAAUUGUUAUUUUUUUUUUAGAAA